This 423-nucleotide ribosomal RNA is filed under the name uncultured bacterium. Its description in RNAcentral is "bacterial SSU rRNA". It matches the Rfam family "Bacterial small subunit ribosomal RNA", at positions 355 to 775 of the family's 1533-position model. The record is from RNAcentral.
UAAGGAAUAUUGGUCAAUGGACGCAAGUCUGAACCAGCCAUGCCGCGUGGAGGAUGACUGCCCUCUGGGUUGUAAACUCCUUUUAUCUGGGAAGAAACCUAUACAUUCUUGUGUAGUUGACGGUACCAGAGGAAUAAGCACCGGCUAACUCCGUGCCAGCAGCCGCGGUAAUACGGAGGGUGCAAGCGUUAUCCGGAUUCACUGGGUUUAAAGGGUGCGUAGGUGGGUAGGUAAGUCAGUGGUGAAAUCCCCGAGCUUAACUUGGGAACUGCCGUUGAUACUAUCUAUCUUGAAUAUCGUGGAGGUAAGCGGAAUAUGUCAUGUAGCGGUGAAAUGCUUAGAUAUGACAUAGAACACCCAUUGCGAAGGCAGCUUACUACACGAUCAUUGACACUGAGGCACGAAAGCGUGGGGAGCAAACAG